AGAGUUUGAUCCUGGCUCAGGACGAACGCUGGCGGCGUGCCUAAUACAUGCAAGUCGAGCGGACAGAUGGGAGCUUGCUCCCUGAUGUUAGCGGCGGACGGGUGAGUAACACGUGGGUAACCUGCCUGUAAGACUGGGAUAACUCCGGGAAACCGGGGCUAAUACCGGAUGGUUGUUUGAACCGCAUGGUUCAAACAUAAAAGGUGGCUUCGGCUACCACUUACAGAUGGACCCGCGGCGCAUUAGCUAGUUGGUGAGGUAACGGCUCACCAAGGCAACGAUGCGUAGCCGACCUGAGAGGGUGAUCGGCCACACUGGGACUGAGACACGGCCCAGACUCCUACGGGAGGCAGCAGUAGGGAAUCUUCCGCAAUGGACGAAAGUCUGACGGAGCAACGCCGCGUGAGUGAUGAAGGUUUUCGGAUCGUAAAGCUCUGUUGUUAGGGAAGAACAAGUACCGUUCGAAUAGGGCGGUACCUUGACGGUACCUAACCAGAAAG
RNAcentral lists this ribosomal RNA (500 nucleotides) under Bacillus subtilis. RNAcentral describes it as "bacterial SSU rRNA". It matches the Rfam family "Bacterial small subunit ribosomal RNA", at positions 8 to 490 of the family's 1533-position model. The record is from RNAcentral. Lineage: Bacteria; Bacillati; Bacillota; Bacilli; Caryophanales; Bacillaceae.